CGGGAUAGCUCAGUUGGUAGAGCAGAGGACUGAAAAUCCUCGUGUCACCC
This 50-nucleotide transfer RNA is filed under the name Muellerina eucalyptoides. RNAcentral describes it as "partial tRNA-Phe". The record is from RNAcentral. Lineage: Eukaryota; Viridiplantae; Streptophyta; Magnoliopsida; Santalales; Loranthaceae.